CCUACGGGUGGCUGCAGUGGGGAAUAUUGCGCAAUGGGCGAAAGCCUGAUGCAGCGACGCCGCGUGAGCGAUGAAGGCCUUCGGGUCGUAAAGCACUGUCCUAAGGGACGAAGAUUGACGGUACAAUAGGCGGGAGCGCCGGGUAACUACGUGCCAGCAGACGCGGCACUACGUAGGGGGAGCGCGUUAUCCGGAAUUACGGGGCGCAAAGGGUGGGUAGGCGGGUGUAUAAGUCCGGUGGGAAAGGCUUCGGCUAAACCGAAGUGAGCACUGGAAACUGGAGGGCUUGAGGGCAGGAGGGGAGAGCGGAAUUCCUAGUGGAGCGGUGAAAUGCGUAGAUAUUAGGAGGAACACCAGUGGCGAAGGCGUCUCUCUGGACUGUAACUGACGCUGAGGCACGAAAGCGUGGGGAGCAAACAGGAUUAGAUACCCUUGUAGUC
This 440-nucleotide ribosomal RNA is filed under the name uncultured bacterium. RNAcentral describes it as "bacterial SSU rRNA". It matches the Rfam family "Bacterial small subunit ribosomal RNA", at positions 338 to 795 of the family's 1533-position model. The record is from RNAcentral.